This is a long non-coding RNA of Ostrea edulis (European flat oyster), 499 nucleotides long. RefSeq lists it as uncharacterized. The transcript has 5 exons. The record is from RefSeq and is a predicted model, not a curated record. Lineage: Eukaryota; Metazoa; Mollusca; Bivalvia; Ostreida; Ostreidae.
AAAAUGUAUCGGUGCUGACGAAGCUUACCUUCACAAAUGGCGGGAGAGAAUGCAACUUUUGAGAACUGGGUAUUUGCAAGGAGCAGGAUCUGGACAUGAUGAGGAGGAACCACAAAGCCUUGCACCUCUAAGUUAUUGGAAAUGACUUUGCUGUCUCGGUUAAUCUGAAGAGAGGUUUGACACAGCCAUGGCGUGAGUGGGGCUCAAACUCGUGACUUCCCAGUUACAAAGUGAACGUUUUCUACCAAUGCUUCAGUGACAGGAGCCUGGAUUAGUACUAUUCUACUACAGCCCAGAAAUAUGCAUUUGAUCGUUUACCUACAUAACCAUGAAUUAGGUCACCAUGACGUCAUGACAUUUUCCAAAACAGACUGUUUGCUGACGAAAAAGGUAAUCCUUUGAGUAAUGAUAUGUCAUCCAUGCCUGUCCCGAUCAUUAAGAUUUUCAAGUUCUCAGAAAACUACUGGACCUGUUGUCAUCAGAAUUUGUGUGUAACCUU